Molecule: long non-coding RNA, 281 nt
Filed under: Capsella rubella
Lineage: Eukaryota; Viridiplantae; Streptophyta; Magnoliopsida; Brassicales; Brassicaceae
Description: long non-coding RNA (CRUB_LNC002766)
Source: RNAcentral
UUUGAUGACAUGGACAAAACGACAAAAUAGUGUUUGGCCAAUUGAAUUUAUAUGAUAUUCAUUUAAAAAAAAAAUCCAGGCUGUAAUCCUUCAACAAACAACUAACUGUCGUCCAUCGAGCCAGGAACUGCCACGUGUCAGUUCUUUUGGACUGUUGUGAAAGGAAAAAAAAAAGAAAAAAAAGUGGUGUGUGUAUAAGUGUGUAACUGUCUUCUCUAACGUAGUAACGCACUCAAACGUCAUUUGCACCUUCUUCCCAACCUUCCUCUGAACGGUUUCAC